RNAcentral lists this ribosomal RNA (439 nucleotides) under uncultured bacterium. RNAcentral describes it as "partial 16S ribosomal RNA". It matches the Rfam family "Bacterial small subunit ribosomal RNA", at positions 339 to 795 of the family's 1533-position model. The record is from RNAcentral.
CUACGGGCCGCUGCAGUGGGGAAUCUUGCACAAUGGAGGAAACUCUGAUGCAGCGACGCCGCGUGAGCGAUGAAGCCCUUCGGGGUGUAAAGCUCUUUCGACGGGAACGAUAAUGACGGUACCCGGAGAAGAAGCUGCGGCUAACUACGUGCCAGCAGCCGCGGUAAUACGUAGGCAGCAAGCGUUGUUCGGAGUUACUGGGCGUAAAGAGUGCGUAGGCGGUGCCCUAAGUCUGUUGUGAAAUCUCCCGGCUUAACUGGGAGGGUGCGGUGGAAACUGGGGUGCUUGAGUGUGGGAGAGGUUGGCGGAAUUCCUGGUGUGGCGGUGAAAUGCGUAGAUAUCAGGAGGAACACCGGUGGUGUAGACGGCUAACUGGACCAUGACUGACGCUGAGGCACGAAAGCGUGGGUAGCAAACAGGAUUAGAUACCCUGGUAGUC